GAUGAAGAACGCAGCGAAAUGCGAUAAGUAGUGUGAAUUGCAGAAUUCAGUGAAUCAUCGAAUCUUUGAACGCACAUUGCGCCCGGCAGUAAUCUGCCGGGCAUGCCUGUCCGAGCGUCAUUUCUGCCCUCGAGCGAGUCCAGCAUCUAGGUGCUGGGCCCGCCCGGCGUUGGGGCACUACGGGGAGCCCUGUGCUGUCCCCCGUAGGCCCCGAAAUGAAGUGGCGGUCCUGCCGCGGCGCCCCCUGCGUAGUAUAACAGCUCGCUUCGGGACCCGGUGGAGGCCUGCCGUCAAACCUUACUCUCUAAGUUUGACCUCGGAUCAGGUAGGGUUACCCGCUGAACUUAAGCAUAUCAAUAAGCGGAGGA
RNAcentral lists this unclassified non-coding RNA (368 nucleotides) under soil metagenome. RNAcentral describes it as "partial contains 5.8S ribosomal RNA, internal transcribed spacer 2, and large subunit ribosomal RNA". The stretch from base 1 to 120 matches the Rfam family "5.8S ribosomal RNA", at positions 35 to 154 of the family's 154-position model. The record is from RNAcentral.